RNAcentral lists this ribosomal RNA (528 nucleotides) under Calopteryx splendens (banded demoiselle). RNAcentral's name for it is "partial 16S ribosomal RNA". The record is from RNAcentral. Lineage: Eukaryota; Metazoa; Arthropoda; Insecta; Odonata; Calopterygidae.
AUGCUGAUUUUAAAGGACGAACAGACCUAUAAAUCAAGCUAUCUACACCUAACUAUUAUCUUAAUCCAACAUCGAGGUCCGCAAGCCUUCCUGUAAAUUUAGAACUCUGGAGGAAGAUUACGCUUGUUAUCCCUAAGGUAACUUGGUCUAAUAAUCAAUAAUAAUGGAUCUAAAAACCAUAAAUAAAUGUAUAAUAAAUAAUAAAAGUUAAUUAUAUAUCUCUUGUCACCCCAACAAAAAAGCCCAAAUAAUAACCCAAAAAAUGGAAUAAAAAUAGUUAAUACAAUAAGCCUUAAAGCUCUAUAGGGUCUUCUCGUCCUACAAAAAAAUUUGAGCCUUUUUAACUCAAAGGUUAAAUUCAAUAAUAUUAAAUUGAGACAGAUAGUACUUCGUCAAACCCUUCAUUCCAGCCUUCUAUUAAAAGACUAAUGAUUAUGCUACCUUUGCACGGUCAAGAUACCGCGGCCGUUAAAAUAAAUUCACUGGGCAGGUAAGACCUCAAAUAAAACACAAGUGGACAUGUUUUUG